ACAGUACCUUGUAGGUGUUGAGGUAGACUACAGUACCUUGUAGGUGUUGAGGUAGACUACAGUACCUUGUAGGUGUUGAGGUAGAUUAUAGUACCUUGUAGGUGUUGAGGUAGAUUAUAGGUGUUGAGGUAGACUACAGUACCUUGUAGGUGUUGAGGUAGACUACAGUACCUUGUAGGUGUUGAGGUAGACUACAGUACCUUGUAGGUGUUGAGGUAGACUACAGUACCUUGUAGGUGUUGAGGUAGACUACAGUACCUUGUAGGUGUUGAGGUAGACUACAGUACCUUGUAGGUGUUGAGGUAGACUACAGUACCUUGUAGGUGUUGAGGUAGACUACAGUACCUUGUAGGUGUUGAGGUAGACUACAGUACCUUGUAGGUGUUGAGGUAGACUACAGUACCUUGUAGGUGUUGAGGUAGACUACAGUACCUUGUAGGUGUUGAGGUAGACUACAGUACCUUGUAGGUGUUGAGGUAGACUACAGUACCUUGUAGGUGUUGAGGUAGACUACAGUACCUUGUAGGUGUUGAGGUAGACUACAGUACCUUGUAGGUGUUGAGGUAGACUACAGUACCUUGUAG
Molecule: long non-coding RNA, 584 nt
Organism: Oncorhynchus tshawytscha (Chinook salmon)
Lineage: Eukaryota; Metazoa; Chordata; Actinopteri; Salmoniformes; Salmonidae
Exons: 4
Source: RefSeq, a predicted model, not a curated record